GUAGCUCAGUGGUAGAGUGCUUGCCUUGUAUGCAUGAUUCCCUGGGUUCUAUUCCUCAGC
This 60-nucleotide transfer RNA is filed under the name Dipodomys ordii (Ord's kangaroo rat). It matches the Rfam family "tRNA", at positions 7 to 64 of the family's 71-position model. Rfam says of the family: Transfer RNA (tRNA) molecules are approximately 80 nucleotides in length. The record is from Rfam by way of RNAcentral. Lineage: Eukaryota; Metazoa; Chordata; Mammalia; Rodentia; Heteromyidae.